UUGACCAGUCAGGUGUGAAAUUCCCGGGCUUAACCUGGGGGCUGCACUUGAUACUGUCAGGCUUGAAUUCGGGAGAGGAUAGCGGAAUUCCCAGUGUAGAGGUGAAAUUCGUAGAUAUUGGGAAGAACACCGGUGGCGAAGGCGGCUAUCUGGACCGACAUUGACGCUGAGGCGCGAAAGCGUGGGGAGCAAACAGGAUUAGAUACCCGGGUAGUC
RNAcentral lists this ribosomal RNA (216 nucleotides) under uncultured Dongia sp. RNAcentral describes it as "partial 16S ribosomal RNA". It matches the Rfam family "Bacterial small subunit ribosomal RNA", at positions 580 to 795 of the family's 1533-position model. The record is from RNAcentral. Lineage: Bacteria; Pseudomonadati; Pseudomonadota; Alphaproteobacteria; Rhodospirillales; Dongiaceae.